This 252-nucleotide ribosomal RNA is filed under the name uncultured bacterium. RNAcentral describes it as "partial 16S ribosomal RNA". It matches the Rfam family "Bacterial small subunit ribosomal RNA", at positions 524 to 775 of the family's 1533-position model. The record is from RNAcentral.
UACGAAGGGGGCUAGCGUUGCUCGGAAUGACUGGGCGUAAAGGGCGCGUAGGCGGAUGGCACAGUCAGAUGUGAAAUUCCCGGGCUUAACCUGGGGGCUGCAUUUGAUACGUGUUGUCUUGAGUUCGGAAGAGGGUCGUGGAAUUCCCAGUGUAGAGGUGAAAUUCGUAGAUAUUGGGAAGAACACCGGUGGCGAAGGCGGCGACCUGGUCCGACACUGACGCUGAGGCGCGAAAGCGUGGGGAGCAACAGG